Molecule: ribosomal RNA, 1211 nt
Filed under: Chitinophaga rupis
Lineage: Bacteria; Pseudomonadati; Bacteroidota; Chitinophagia; Chitinophagales; Chitinophagaceae
Description: bacterial LSU rRNA
Rfam family: Bacterial large subunit ribosomal RNA
Source: RNAcentral
GGACGAGUGGUAUCCUGAGUAGUGCGGGACCGGAGGAAUCCUGUAUGAAUUUGCCAGCACCAUCUGGUAAGGCUAAAUACUCCCUAGAGACCGAUAGUGAACCAGUACCGUAAGGGAAAGGUGAAAAGCACUUCGAACAGAAGAGUGAAAUAGUUCCUGAAACCGUGCGCCUACAAGCGGUCGGAGCCUGUUAAAGGGUGACGGCGUGCCUUUUGCAUAAUGAGCCUACGAGUUACUCCUCACUGGCGAGGUUAAGCACUUAAGUUGCGGAGCCGCAGCGAAAGCGAGUUCUAACAGAGCGUUAUAGUCAGUGGGGGUAGACGCGAAACUUUGUGAUCUAUCCAUGGGCAGGUUGAAGGUUUGGUAACACAAACUGGAGGACCGAACUCAUUAGCGUUGAAAAGCUAUGGGAUGACCUGUGGAUAGGGGUGAAAGGCCAAUCAAACUGAGAGAUAGCUCGUUCUCCCCGAAAUGUUUUUAGGAACAGCCUCGUUUAAAGGUAUCAUAGAGGUAGAGCUACUAAUUGGGCUAGGGGGCUUCACCGCCUACCAAACCCUAAUAAACUCCGAAUGCUAUGAUAUAAGAACGGGAGUGAGGCUGUGGGCGCUAAGGUCCAUGGCCGAGAGGGAAAUAACCCAGAUUAACAGCUAAGGUCCCUAAUCGUAUGUUAAGUUGAACAAACGCAGUUCAAAUCCUAUAACAGCCAGGAUGUUGGCUUGGAAGCAGCCAUUCAUUUAAAGAGUGCGUAACAGCUCACUGGUCGAGGGUUUGAGCACGGAAAAUGAUCGGGCAUCAAACAUACAACCGAAGCUUUAGGAUUCUGCCCUAGGGGUAAGAAUCGGUAGGGGAGCAUUCCAAACUGCAUUGAAGGUGUAUCGCGAGAUAUGCUGGAGCGUUUGGAAAAGAAAAUGUAGGCAUAAGUAACGAUAAAUAAGAUGAAAAAUCUUAUCGCCGUAAGACUAAGGGUUCCUGAUCAACGUUAAUCGGAUCAGGGUUAGUCGGGUCCUUAGGCAAAGCCGAGAGGCGCAGCUGAUGGCAAACUGGUGAAUAUUCCAGUACCUGCUAUAAUUUCGAUGGGGUAACGGAGUAGUGAAAGGACUGCGCACUUACGGAAUAGUGCGUUAAAGGGAGUAGUUAUAUUCUGUGUAGGUAAAUCCGCAUGGGAUGACGAACCUGAUAGUACUGCAAAGCUUCGGCAGCGCAGAUAAUGU